GUGAUUACUGCCAUCAAUCGGUUGGAACGAAAUCAGGCUACCUCAUCUUCCCUAGCUGACAUAGUGGUGGAAUCGUCUGCUAGGAAAAGAAUUGGAUGACGUCCCACUAGAAGAAGUUUGCUCAUAUCAGGGAAAGCAUCGUCUAAGAGUAAAAUUGAUGAAGUAAAGAGCUCACCUCUACCUAUAAAACGAACUACCAAAAGGGCCAAAAGUGUGUUUGAUAUGUUGGGUACUCAGCUUUCACUAAUAUUCAAAGAUGAGCAAACUCAGCCUAUUCAAAGAAUCACUUCAAAAAGGAUAAACCUGAAAUGAGUGCUCUGAGAAAAUGUAGUGCUGACAUGGAGCCAAACAUAAAGGUAUUGUGGAAGAAUAUCUUACCAACCACCA
This 387-nucleotide long non-coding RNA is filed under the name Olea europaea (common olive). RNAcentral's name for it is "long non-coding RNA (OEUR_LNC003080)". The record is from RNAcentral. Lineage: Eukaryota; Viridiplantae; Streptophyta; Magnoliopsida; Lamiales; Oleaceae.